UACGAAGGGGGCUAGCGUUGCUCGGAAUUACUGGGCGUAAAGGGCGCGUAGGCGGUUCUAUAAGUCAGGCGUGAAAUUCCUGGGCUUAACCUGGGGGCUGCGCUUGAGACUGUGGGACUUGAGGUCAGAAGAGGGUCGUGGAAUUCCCAGUGUAGAGGUGAAAUUCGUAGAUAUUGGGAAGAACACCGGGGGCGAAGGCGGCGACCUGGUCUGAUACUGACGCUGAGGCGCGACAGCGUGGGGAGCAAACAGG
RNAcentral lists this ribosomal RNA (253 nucleotides) under uncultured bacterium. RNAcentral's name for it is "partial 16S ribosomal RNA". It matches the Rfam family "Bacterial small subunit ribosomal RNA", at positions 524 to 776 of the family's 1533-position model. The record is from RNAcentral.